This 345-nucleotide unclassified non-coding RNA is filed under the name uncultured fungus. Its description in RNAcentral is "partial contains 5.8S ribosomal RNA, internal transcribed spacer 2, and large subunit ribosomal RNA". Lineage: Eukaryota; Fungi. The record is from RNAcentral.
AACGCACAUUGCGCUCUCUGGUAUUCCGGAGAGCAUGCUUGUUUGAGUAUCAGUAAAACACCCUCAGCUCCCCCGCUUCUUAGGAAGAGAGGAGGCUGGACUUGAGAGAUCCCAACGGCAGUGAGAACUGCUGGCGGGUCACUUGAAAUGCAGGUGCGGCUGGACACAUCUUCUGAGCUAUAAGCAUUACUUAUUUAGUCCCGUAAAACGGAUUAUAUCUAUUGCUGCAGCUAACAUAAAGGUCGAUUGUUCUUGUGCCCGACUGAUGCAGGAAAAUGAAGGCGUCUAAUAGCGUCCUUUGUUCAACUCGAUCUCAAAUCAAGCAAGACUACCCGCUGAACUUAA